AUUAUUAUACCAGCAAUCCAGCCUGAAGGACUUAGCUCAUAGAUGUCUUCUGAAAUGUGGAAGAAAUACUUUCGUUUGUCAUAAAACCUCAGCAGGAGAUUGGAGUCUGGAAGAGGGAGGGGAGAAGAGGAGGACCUCAGGGAGAUUGUUUUGCUUAUUGGUGUUUAAUUAAAAACCAAACAACUUUUCCUAUUAACUUGAUGCUACUUAUUAAUUGAAAUGAGGAGACUGACUCUGGAUAUUGGGAAAAUUUAUGACCCUAGUAAUCACCAUUCCACUCUCUACUUCUAUGAGUUUGACUAAGAUUCCACAUGUGACCAUUAUUCUGAGUGUUUUAAAAGCAAUAUUUUUCUAUUGAAGAAAUGAAAAUAGCAGUCAUUCAAAAUCCUAUUGUGCUAUCUUUUGAUCAUCAUAAUA
Molecule: long non-coding RNA, 417 nt
Filed under: Homo sapiens (human)
Lineage: Eukaryota; Metazoa; Chordata; Mammalia; Primates; Hominidae
Description: long independently transcribed non-coding RNA 2428 (LINC02428)
Source: RNAcentral